UUUAUGGAGAGUUUGAUCCUGGCUCAGGAUGAACGCUGGCGGCGUGCCUAAUACAUGCAAGUCGAGCGAACGGACGAGAAGCUUGCUUUUCUGAUGUUAGCGGCGGACGGGUGAGUAACACGUGGAUAACCUACCUAUAAGACUGGGAUAACUUCGGGAAACCGGAGCUAAUACCGGAUAAUAUUUUGAACCGCAUGGU
Molecule: ribosomal RNA, 199 nt
Filed under: Staphylococcus aureus
Lineage: Bacteria; Bacillati; Bacillota; Bacilli; Caryophanales; Staphylococcaceae
Description: partial 16S ribosomal RNA
Rfam family: Bacterial small subunit ribosomal RNA
Source: RNAcentral